GGAUGAGCCUGCGGCGCAUUAGCUAGUUGGCGGGGUAACGGCCCACCGUGGCUACGAUGUCUAGGGGUUCUGAGAGGAAGGUCCCCCACACUGGAACUGAGACACGGUCCAGACUCCUACGGGAGGCAGCAGUGAGGAAUAUUGGUCAAUGGGAGAGAUCCUGAACCAGCCAAGCCGCGUGAGGGAAGACGGCCCUAUGGGUUGUAAACCUCUUUUGUCGGAGAACAAAACCCGGGACGAGUCCCGGACUGCGUGUAUCCGAAGAAAAAGCAUCGGCUAACUCCGUGCCAGCAGCCGCGGUAAUACGGAGGAUGCGAGCGUUAUCCGGAUUUAUUGGGUUUAAAGGGUGCGUAGGCGGUCCGUUAAGUCAGCGGUAAAAUUGCGGGGCUCAACCCCGUCGAGCCGUUGAAACUGGCAGACUUGAGUUGGCGAGAAGUACGCGGAAUGCGCGGUGUAGCGGUGAAAUGCAUAGAUAUCGCGCAGAACUCCGAUUGCGAAGGCAGCGUACCGGCGCCAGACUGACGCUGAGGCACGAAAGCGUGGGGAUCGAACAGGAUUAGAUACCCUGGUAGUCCACGCAGUAAACGAUGAAUGCUGGUUGUCCGGG
This 607-nucleotide ribosomal RNA is filed under the name uncultured bacterium. RNAcentral's name for it is "bacterial SSU rRNA". It matches the Rfam family "Bacterial small subunit ribosomal RNA", at positions 223 to 828 of the family's 1533-position model. The record is from RNAcentral.